GAUGAACGCUGGCGGCGUGCCUAAUACAUGCAAGUCGAGCGAACGGACGAGAAGCUUGCUUCUCUGAUGUUAGCGGCGGACGGGUGAGUAACACGUGGAUAACCUACCUAUCAGACUGGGAUAACUUCGGGAAACCGGAGCUAAUACCGGAUAAUAUUCUGAACCGCAUGGUUCAAAAGUGAAAGACGGUCUUGCUGUCACUUAUCGAUGGAUCCGCGCUGCAUUAGCUAGUUGGUAAGGUAACGGCUUACCAAGGCAACGAUGCAUAGCCGACCUGAGAGGGGGAUAGGCCACACGGGAAGUGAGACAGGGUCAAGACGACUACGGGAGGCAGCAGUAGGGAAUCUGCCGCAAUGGGCGAAAGCCUGACGGAGCAACGCCGCGUGAGUGAUGAAGGUCUUCGGAGCGUAAAACUCGGUUAUUAGGGAAGAACAUAUGUGUAAGUAACUGUGCACAGCGUGACGGUAACUAAUCAGAAAGCCACGGCUAACUACGUG
Molecule: ribosomal RNA, 497 nt
Filed under: uncultured bacterium
Lineage: Bacteria
Description: partial 16S ribosomal RNA
Rfam family: Bacterial small subunit ribosomal RNA
Source: RNAcentral